CAGUCGCCACGGGAAUACAGAGGGUGCGAGCGUUAAUCGGAUUUACUGGGCGUAAAGCGUGCGUAGGCGGCUUCUUAAGUCGGAUGUGAAAUCCCUGAGCUUAACUUAGGAAUUGCAUUCGAUACUGGGAAGCUAGAGUAUGGGAGAGGAUGGUAGAAUUCCAGGUGUAGCGGUGAAAUGCGUAGAGAUCUGGAGGAAUACCGAUGGCGAAGGUAGCCAUCUGGCCUAAUACUGACGCUGAGGUACGAAAGCAUGGGGAGCAAACAGGAUUAGAUACCCCCGUAGUCCCUGUCUCUUAUAC
Molecule: ribosomal RNA, 301 nt
Filed under: uncultured bacterium
Lineage: Bacteria
Description: partial 16S ribosomal RNA
Rfam family: Bacterial small subunit ribosomal RNA
Source: RNAcentral